This 429-nucleotide ribosomal RNA is filed under the name uncultured bacterium. RNAcentral describes it as "bacterial SSU rRNA". It matches the Rfam family "Bacterial small subunit ribosomal RNA", at positions 355 to 775 of the family's 1533-position model. The record is from RNAcentral.
UGGGGAAUAUUGGGCAAUGGGCGAAAGCCUGACCCAGCGACGCCGCGUGGGCGAUGAAGGCCUUCGGGUUGUAAAGCCCUGUCAUGCGGAAAGAACGACCCUGUGACGCAUACUCACAGGGAGUGACGGUACCGCAGGAGGAAGCACCGGCUAACUCCGUGCCAGCAGCCGCGGUAAUACGGAGGGUGCAAGCGUUGUUCGGAAUUAUUGGGCGUAAAGGGCGCGUAGGCGGUAAUGUAAGUCAGAUGUGAAAUACUCCGGCUCAACCAGAGAACAGCAUCUGAAACUGCAUAACUAGAGUACAGAAGAGGGAAACGGAAUUCCCGGUGUAGAGGUGAAAUUCGUAGAUAUCGGGAGGAACACCAGUGGCGAAGGCGGUUUCCUGGUCUGAUACUGACGCUGAGGCGCGAAAGCGUGGGGAGCAAACAG